RNAcentral lists this ribosomal RNA (478 nucleotides) under uncultured bacterium. Its description in RNAcentral is "partial 16S ribosomal RNA". It matches the Rfam family "Bacterial small subunit ribosomal RNA", at positions 28 to 523 of the family's 1533-position model. The record is from RNAcentral.
GACGAACGCUGGCGGCGUGCUUAACACAUGCAAGUCGAACGGUAAGGCCCUUCGGGGUACACGAGUGGCGAACGGGUGAGUAACACGUGGGUGAUCUGCCCUGCACUUCGGGAUAAGCCUGGGAAACUGGGUCUAAUACCGGAUAGGACCACUGCCUGCAUGGGUGGUGGUGGAAAGCUUUUGCGGUGUGGGAUGGGCCCGCGGCCUAUCAGCUUGUUGGUGGGGUGAUGGCCCACCAAGGCGACGACGGGUAGCCGGCCUGAGAGGGUGACCGGCCACACUGGGACCGAGACACGGCCCAGACUCCUACGGGAGGCAGCAGUGGGGAAGAUUGCGCAAUGGACGAAAGUCUGACGCAGCGACGCCUCGUGAGGGACGAAGGUCUUCGGAUUGUAAACCUCUUUCAGCAGGGACGAAGCGAAAGUGACGGUACCUGCAGAAGAAGCACCGGCUAACUAUGUGCCAGCCGCCGCCGUAA